RNAcentral lists this ribosomal RNA (463 nucleotides) under uncultured Rhodoferax sp. RNAcentral describes it as "bacterial SSU rRNA". It matches the Rfam family "Bacterial small subunit ribosomal RNA", at positions 919 to 1382 of the family's 1533-position model. The record is from RNAcentral. Lineage: Bacteria; Pseudomonadati; Pseudomonadota; Betaproteobacteria; Burkholderiales; Comamonadaceae.
ACCCGCACAAGCGGUGGAUGAUGUGGUUUAAUUCGAUGCAACGCGAAAACCUUACCCACCUUUGACAUGUACGGAAGUUGCCAGAGAUGGCUUCGUGCUCGAAAGAGAGCCGUAACACAGGUGCUGCAUGGCUGUCGUCAGCUCGUGUCGUGAGAUGUUGGGUUAAGUCCCGCAACGAGCGCAACCCUUGUCAUUAGUUGCCAUCAUUUGGUUGGGCACUCUAAUGAGACUGCCGGUGACAAACCGGAGGAAGGUGGGGAUGACGUCAAGUCCUCAUGGCCCUUAUGGGUAGGGCUUCACACGUCAUACAAUGGUCGGUACAGAGGGUUGCCAACCCGCGAGGGGGAGCUAAUCCCACAAAGCCGAUCGUAGUCCGGAUCGCAGUCUGCAACUCGACUGCGUGAAGUCGGAAUCGCUAGUAAUCGUGGAUCAGCAUGUCACGGUGAAUACGUUCCCGGGUCUU